This 98-nucleotide signal recognition particle RNA is filed under the name Tenacibaculum sp. MAR_2010_89. RNAcentral's name for it is "Bacterial small signal recognition particle RNA". It matches the Rfam family "Bacteroidales small SRP", at positions 9 to 102 of the family's 107-position model. Rfam says of the family: The non-coding component of the signal recognition particle in Bacteroides Lineage: Bacteria; Pseudomonadati; Bacteroidota; Flavobacteriia; Flavobacteriales; Flavobacteriaceae. The record is from RNAcentral. RNAcentral also lists the same sequence under 5 other names.
CGGCAAGUCCUACACAACUAGCUCCCUUUGAAUCCCCCAGGGCGGGAACGCAGCAAGGGUAUUAGGUUGAGCAGUGUGAUGUAGGUAGCUUGCCUUUU